Non-coding RNA from Neolamprologus brichardi, 719 nucleotides. The record is from RefSeq and is a predicted model, not a curated record. Lineage: Eukaryota; Metazoa; Chordata; Actinopteri; Cichliformes; Cichlidae.
UAAAAAUAAUCCAGCCAAUAAAAAAACUAAAAGAUUUUAUUCUUUCAGAUAAGGCAAUGAAACAGGUAAUAAAUAGUGACUUACUUUUCCCUCGCAGUGGUGAUGCAAUCCUUUUCCAGGCCAGACUGUGUCAGAAUAUGCAUGAGUGUUUCUCUGGAAGAAUUUUUGUAAACAGUUCCUAAGAAAUUGCAGAGGUAUGGCCGGUUGGAGGUAAUUAACUGGGCAUUCGGCCUGAUCAUUGGAAACUGUCUGUAUCUGUACAGAGACAAAAUCGUGGCAUUAUAUUAGACAGCGUUACUAAUUCAAAGAGGAAACAUGACACAUACACACAAAUUAGACAAUAAGCGAGGACAUACGUAGCAACACCAAGAGGCCACUGAAAGACAUCCUUGUCAUUGACCCAGGGGCUAUCAUACACUACAAAAAGGAGGUCCACAAAGCCACCAUUUCUCUUCAGAUGUGGGCUGAUCCAGUUGUUGUUGCAGUGCUCAUUGCCCAGCAGAACCACAGCAACGUGAGACACUGUAUUGGACUGAACCAGAGUUUGGACGUGCUCCAGCCACCGUGUGGAAGUUGUAGUCCACCUGUUCAUCCUCCCACGGAUUCCACUCAUCAGCAACGUAUGGAGCACCGCCAUCCCUUACACCACCUACAAACCCAACACACCGUUAUCUAUUCAAUUUUCUUUCCACGCGAAAUUAAAUAAAUAUCAUUUUUAA